Molecule: ribosomal RNA, 425 nt
Filed under: uncultured bacterium
Lineage: Bacteria
Description: bacterial SSU rRNA
Rfam family: Bacterial small subunit ribosomal RNA
Source: RNAcentral
GAAUAUUGGACAAUGGGCGCAAGCCUGAUCCAGCCAUGCCGCGUGUGUGAAGAAGGUCUUCGGAUUGUAAAGCACUUUAAGUUGGGAGGAAGGGCAGUAAGUUAAUACCUUGCUGUUUUGACGUUACCGACCGAAUAAGCACCGGCUAACUCUGUGCCAGCAGCCGCGGUAAUACAGAGGGUGCAAGCGUUAAUCGGAAUUACUGGGCGUAAAGCGCGCGUAGGUGGUUCAGUAAGUUGGAUGUGAAAUCCCCGGGCUCAACCUGGGAACUGCAUCCAAAACUGCUGAGCUAGAGUACGGUAGAGGGUAGUGGAAUUUCCUGUGUAGCGGUGAAAUGCGUAGAUAUAGGAAGGAACACCAGUGGCGAAGGCGACUACCUGGACUGAUUCUGACACUGAGGUGCGAAAGCGUGGGGAGCAAACAGG